Notolabrus celidotus (New Zealand spotty) is the source of this 478-nucleotide long non-coding RNA. RefSeq lists it as uncharacterized. The record is from RefSeq and is a predicted model, not a curated record. NCBI's taxonomy places the organism in Eukaryota, Metazoa, Chordata, Actinopteri, Labriformes, Labridae. The transcript is spliced from 3 exons.
AUCAACAUGGAGGCACUGGAGGAAGGGAGAAGGAGAGCACUGCUAGCAGGCCACUUGCUAGCAUCCAGGGCUAGCAUUAGCUGAUAAGGCUAAUGCUACAUCAGCAAACAUUGGACACACUGAGCUUUUGGAAGCAGUUGUGGUCACUCGUGGAAAAGGAGGCUCUUUGAUAAAGGUGGAGUGUAGAAAUGGAAACGCUCUUGUUGGUGAAGUUACCCUCAAGGACAAGAAGCUGGUGUGUUGUUGAUCCAACACUUUUCCACCAAUGAGGAGGCACUGGGCUACAGUGGCGAACGUCCUGUUGAAUGGCGGAUACCUCAGGAAGACUGGAAUCUGCCUUGGAUGGAUGGGGCAAGAAAGUAGAACCAGUAGAUCCAUACACCGAACUCUGGACCGCCGGACAGCUGGAGUCAUGUGACCGAGGUUUCCCAGCUGUAAUCACUGAAUCAAGGACUCUCCUCCUCCUCCUCCUCCUCAU